This 253-nucleotide ribosomal RNA is filed under the name uncultured bacterium. RNAcentral's name for it is "partial 16S ribosomal RNA". It matches the Rfam family "Bacterial small subunit ribosomal RNA", at positions 524 to 776 of the family's 1533-position model. The record is from RNAcentral.
UACAGAGGGGGCAAGCGUUGUUCGGAAUUACUGGGCGUAAAGGGCGCGUAGGCGGCCCUCUAAGUCAGACGUGAAAUCCCCGGGCUCAACCUGGGAACUGCAUCCGAAACUGCCUUGCUCGAGUAUGGGAGAGGGAAGUGGAAUUUCCGGUGUAGCGGUGAAAUGCGUAGAUAUCGGAAGGAACAUCAGUGGCGAAGGCGACUUCCUGGACCAAUACUGACGCUCAGGUGCGAAAGCGUGGGGAGCAAACAGG